UUCUCUCUUACAUGCCUUGAGUGUAGGACCGUUGUCAUCUUAAUUACCCUCCCACACCCAAGGCUUGCAGGAGGGCAAG
RNAcentral lists this microRNA precursor (79 nucleotides) under Eptesicus fuscus (big brown bat). RNAcentral's name for it is "microRNA efu-mir-532 precursor". Its record names the gene efu-mir-532. It matches the Rfam family "mir-532 microRNA precursor family". Lineage: Eukaryota; Metazoa; Chordata; Mammalia; Chiroptera; Vespertilionidae. The record is from miRBase by way of RNAcentral.